AACAUGCAAGUCGAACGGCAGCACGGGGAGCAAUCCUGGUGGCGAGUGGCGAACGGGUGAGUAAUACAUCGGAACGUGUCCUGGAGUGGGGGAUAGCCCGGCGAAAGCCGGAUUAAUACCGCAUACGAUCUCGGGAUGAAAGCGGGGGACCGAAAGGCCUCGCGCUCAAGGGGCGGCCGAUGGCAGAUUAGCUAGUUGGUGGGGUAAAGGCCUACCAAGGCGACGAUCUGUAGCUGGUCUGAGAGGACGACCAGCCACACUGGGACUGAGACACGGCCCAGACUCCUACGGGAGGCAGCAGUGGGGAAUUUUGGACAAUGGGGGCAACCCUGAUCCAGCAAUGCCGCGUGUGUGAAGAAGGCCUUCGGGUUGUAAAGCACUUUUGUCCGGAAAGAAAACCGCUUCUCUAAUACAGAGGUGGGAUGACGGUACCGGAAGAAUAAGCACCGGCUAACUACGUGCCAGCAGCCGCGGUAAUACGUAGGGUGCAAGCGUUAAUCGGAAUUACUGGGCGUAAAGCGUGCGCAGGCGGUUCGCUAAGACCGAUGUGAAAUCCCCGGGCUUAACCUGGGAACUGCAUUGGUGACUGGCGGGCUAGAGUAUGGCAGAGGGGGGUAGAAUUCCACGUGUAGCAGUGAAAUGCGUAGAGAUGUGGAGGAAUACCGAUGGCGAAGG
RNAcentral lists this ribosomal RNA (675 nucleotides) under Burkholderia sp. 11B3. RNAcentral's name for it is "bacterial SSU rRNA". It matches the Rfam family "Bacterial small subunit ribosomal RNA", at positions 52 to 721 of the family's 1533-position model. Lineage: Bacteria; Pseudomonadati; Pseudomonadota; Betaproteobacteria; Burkholderiales; Burkholderiaceae. The record is from RNAcentral.